GUGCCAGCAGCCGCGGUAAGACAGGGGUCUCGAGCGUUAAUCGGAAUCACUGGGCUUAAAGGGUGCGUAGGCGGGCCUGUAAGUGUCCUGUGAAAUCCCCCGGCUCAACCGGGGAACUGCGGGGCAUACUGCGGGUCUUGAGGAAGGUAGGCGCCGAGGGAACAGUAGGUGGAGCGGUGAAAUGCGUAGAUAUCUACUGGAACGCCGAUGGUGAAGACGCUCGGCUGGGCCUUUCCUGACGCUGAGGCACGAAAGCGUGGGGAGCAAACAGGAUUAGAUACCCCAGUAGUCC
Molecule: ribosomal RNA, 292 nt
Filed under: uncultured bacterium
Lineage: Bacteria
Description: partial 16S ribosomal RNA
Rfam family: Bacterial small subunit ribosomal RNA
Source: RNAcentral